Molecule: ribosomal RNA, 897 nt
Filed under: Triticum aestivum (bread wheat)
Lineage: Eukaryota; Viridiplantae; Streptophyta; Magnoliopsida; Poales; Poaceae
Description: partial small subunit ribosomal RNA
Source: RNAcentral
AUGACCGCUGCCGCCACCUGGAGUGCUCUCCUUCAGAGUUUCUCCUCGCAAUCCCGCGCCUGCAUCAUCCAGCUUCGGGAUCAGAUCGGGCACACCAGGAAAGGCGAUUUCUCAGCAGCCGCCUACUUCACCAAGAUGAAGGGGAUCGCCGAUGAACUUGCAGCCGUCGGGAGGCCUCUGGAUGAAGAUGAUGUCGUCUCCCACAUCAUCCAGGGCCUCAUGCACGAGCCGGAAUAUAGUGGCUUCGUCUCUGCCGUCUCCACGCGCACCAUCAUCGACCAACCUAUCGGCCUAUGCGAGCUAUUCUCGCUGCUGCUCGCUGCUGAGCCACGCAUCGCCAUGCAGACCUCCGCUAACCUUGCUGCAAAGGGCGGAGGUCGCGGCAACUCCAGUCGUUCUGGGAACGGCAAUGGCGGCGGGAACGGUGGCUCCCACGGCUACAACAACAACAACACAGGCGCCCGCUUCUUUGACAACAACUCUGAUGGCGACAGUUUUGGUGGAGCGCCUCGCCAGGGUGGUGACCGUGGUGAUUGCGAGAAGUGUCAAAUCUACAAGUUUGAAGGGCAUGGAGCAUGGCGCUGCAAGAAGCGCUACGACCGCAACUACAACAACAAUGUGCGCAAUCCCGCGGGUGGUGGAGGUGGUGGUGGAAAACGAUCUGCCAAUGCCAUCCACUCCUAUGGAGUGGAUACCAACUGGUAUCUUAACACUGGUGCAACAAACCAUGUGACCGGUGAGCUGGAGAAGCUUGCUAUCCGUGACCGCUACACCGGACGGAACAAAUCCACACCACUAGUGGUCAAGGAUCGGGCCACUCGGAGGAUCAUUCUUCAAAACAAGAGUAGGGGUAGUUUGUUUCCUAUUCCUGGUAGGCAAGAUGCUCAUCCCCGAUAA